Etheostoma spectabile (orangethroat darter) is the source of this 99-nucleotide long non-coding RNA. RefSeq lists it as uncharacterized. The record is from RefSeq and is a predicted model, not a curated record. The transcript is spliced from 3 exons. NCBI's taxonomy places the organism in Eukaryota, Metazoa, Chordata, Actinopteri, Perciformes, Percidae.
UUCAAAAGUGUGUAUGAGGGUUCAACAUUAGCACCAUAUACCAGCCAAAUGCUGAGUAUAUUAUUCAAGUGGCUGGUAUAUUUGCUUCAUUUACCUGCC